Molecule: non-coding RNA, 460 nt
Organism: Nylanderia fulva
Lineage: Eukaryota; Metazoa; Arthropoda; Insecta; Hymenoptera; Formicidae
Source: RefSeq, a predicted model, not a curated record
UUAAUAACGUAUAUUCUAAAAAUGUAGCUAAGUCAAUAUCACGAAAUGCUAGCAGUAUUGUAGAAAAUAACUUUGAAACAGAAAGACUUCGAAUAAAGGAGAUGAGUGAUCGUGUGAUAGAUAAGAAUGAGUUAAUUAAACAAAUAACAAACCAUGUUGAUGUUCGCAAGAGACAAAUCAAAAGACAGAGACAGUAUUUUGAAGGUUUCUUCUUCUAAUUGAUGGAUGUAAAAAAAAUUACAGUUUUUUAUACGAGGACGUACUUUAUAUGAAUAAUUUUUUUAUAUUGCAUGUACUAUUUCUUUUACUGCUUUAAAUAUUGUUUAUUUAGAUGUAUUACUAUCCGAUGCCUUUAUAUUUACAAAACUAUAAGACUGCAUUUAUCAAGAUUUUCAUUUUUUUGCGAUCUUGUUUGAAGUAGUUAAACUAUAUAUUAUUACCUGCUUAGUAUUAGAGUUGU